AAAACGCUGGAUGUGAAAACAGGUGCUUUUACCCUCAGUAUGCUGACCAGGAUCAACACACCACCAGCCAAAUGCUCAGAAGGUGACUCAAGAACUGAAGCAGACACUGCCAGACCCUCCUGGAACCCCACUGAGCAUCCAGUCUUGCUUAAUCCACCCGCUGGGAAUCCAGGCAGCCAGUGUCAUCUUCCACCCCUGGACUGUCCCUGCAGCUCCUCCAUGCCUCUCUGCCUUCCCAGAUUGUAUUCCCACUUGAUUUCACCCUGAUAUGUUAAGAGAGCUGGGAGAGGUGACACUGUCAGGUGGAAAAGGUUAUGAUGAACAAAGGAGCAGCAAUCCAGGACUGUCCUGCAGAGACCAGGGAAGACUCAAGACAAAGUAAAUAGUUAUAAAGAACAGAAAAAAAUAUUCUGUAAAAUUGGGCAAUUCUUCCCUCAUUUAGACAUAAUUGAUAGUUUCUGAUUGAAUACUGCUGAUUUCUGAACUAAAAGAAAAAAAAAUUAAUUAUCCAGACUGCUUAGCUUCAUGUUUCUUUUCAUUUUGAUUUGCACAUGUUAUAUUGGAUCAAAUUCAUAUGACAUUUGAUCUCAGAACAUGGUUUAAAGUUUUGUUUAAUAUCAGUUGGCUCAUUAAACUGGCU
This is a long non-coding RNA of Onychostruthus taczanowskii (white-rumped snowfinch), 640 nucleotides long. RefSeq lists it as uncharacterized. The transcript is spliced from 3 exons. NCBI's taxonomy places the organism in Eukaryota, Metazoa, Chordata, Aves, Passeriformes, Passeridae. The record is from RefSeq and is a predicted model, not a curated record.